AUGGCAUUCAGGUUCAGGGUCGCCUCCUCCUCACUCUGUCCACCAGAGAGGAAGACAAUGGCGGGGACGGCAGCAGGGACAGUCCUCUGGAGGGCGCGGACGGUGUACUCAGCAAUGACCUCAGGGGCCACCUUUUUGGCGUCGGAUCCAGGGGUGGGCUUCAGGAGGGUGCCCUCGAGGAGGACAUGCUGGUCGUUGAGGGCCUUGUAG
Molecule: ribosomal RNA, 210 nt
Filed under: Triticum aestivum (bread wheat)
Lineage: Eukaryota; Viridiplantae; Streptophyta; Magnoliopsida; Poales; Poaceae
Description: partial small subunit ribosomal RNA
Source: RNAcentral